This 506-nucleotide long non-coding RNA is filed under the name Lathyrus oleraceus (garden pea). RNAcentral's name for it is "Pisum sativum (pea) long non-coding RNA (PSAT_LNC001846)". The record is from RNAcentral. Lineage: Eukaryota; Viridiplantae; Streptophyta; Magnoliopsida; Fabales; Fabaceae.
GAAAAUACAUCGAUACAUAAUCACGAAUAGAAUUAGCAUAGAAUAUAAAUCUAUUUCAAAAUCUAAACUCUAAACAUUGUAUGUAUAUGUUAAUAGUAAACCACACUUUACAAAUCCAAUUCAUCUUUUGUGGUUGUUUUCUUAUCCACAAUUUUUACUUUUCUUAGUAAAUCAUAAAUCACACUAUCAACUUGAUUCAGAUCCUUUGUAAUUUUACUAGACAUGCUUCAAAUUUUACUAGACAUAGUUCAAAUCUUAUCUAAAAUCAUUGAUGAUGUUUGUUUACUAUCUAAUAUCUAUACUGAGAAUCAAGCCCUUCCAUUCUACCACAAACAAUUCUAUGAAACACUUCCCUAAUUUGUUUUUCCAAAGGAUUCAAUCCAUCUUUCAAACCUUCACAAACAUUCACAACAUCUUCCACUUUAACUCUAACUUCAUCUUCUUUAUCCUCACUCAAAGGAAACUCCAAAGAAUCAGCCAAAUCAUUCAUCACCCUAGCACACUUU